UACGUAGGGUGCAAGCGUUAAUCGGAAUUACUGGGCGUAAAGCGUGCGCAGGCGGUUAUGCAAGACAGAUGUGAAAUCCCCGGGCUUAACCUGGGAACCGCAUUUGUGACUGCAUAGCUGGAGUACGGCUGAGGGGGAUGGAAUUCCGCGUGUAGCAGUGAAAUGCGUAGAUAUGCGGAGGAACACCGAUGGCGAAGGCAGUCCCCUGGGCCUGUACUGACGCUCAUGCACGAAAGCGUGGGGAGCAAACAGG
RNAcentral lists this ribosomal RNA (253 nucleotides) under uncultured bacterium. RNAcentral's name for it is "partial 16S ribosomal RNA". It matches the Rfam family "Bacterial small subunit ribosomal RNA", at positions 524 to 776 of the family's 1533-position model. The record is from RNAcentral.